Molecule: long non-coding RNA, 554 nt
Organism: Brassica napus (rape)
Lineage: Eukaryota; Viridiplantae; Streptophyta; Magnoliopsida; Brassicales; Brassicaceae
Exons: 2
Source: RefSeq, a predicted model, not a curated record
ACUAUCCGGCAUUAAAAAAAAGUUAACUACAUAUGGAAAGAAUAUGUAUUCUUACCAAUGUUAAUUCAUAUGGAAAGAAAUCUUGUUUUUGUUUUGACUAUAUCUUAUAAGUAAUUAAUGUACAUAUUACAUUCUUUCUGAAUUUAUCUUUGACCAUGAUAACUAUUUUGAACGUUUGUAUUAGUAUAUAUAUGUAAUCAGUCUAAGUAAUCUACUCAACAAAACGAUUGAGAACAUCAUAAAAAUGGCUAUAACCGUAAAAACUUUAGUCUCAUUUGUUUUAACUAUCUUUUUAUUCAUAUCUUUUAUUGACUGUCGUACAUUAACCGCUGAAACUCUUUCAACUACUUUAAAUUCUCCGGGAUAUGGAAUAGGAGGCGAGUCUUGCUUUGGAGGAUUUUGGCCGUGUAAGGAAGACAUUCUCUUUGGUUGCGUUAGAUAUUGCAAUAAAUAUAAAUACAAAUUUGGCCGAUGUACUGACAUCGAAGGAUGUUGUUGUUAUUGAAAAAAGCGUUUACCAUGAAAUAAUAUAACAAAAUGUGUAGUUCGAAAUA